This is a long non-coding RNA of Dreissena polymorpha, 422 nucleotides long. RefSeq lists it as uncharacterized. The transcript has 3 exons. The record is from RefSeq and is a predicted model, not a curated record. NCBI's taxonomy places the organism in Eukaryota, Metazoa, Mollusca, Bivalvia, Myida, Dreissenidae.
AAUAGGCAACCCAAUGACUACUAGAUCUACGGACAGCCAGGAACCAGGACAAACAACAUCCGUACACACGAAAGAAGUCGAUGAGACGUUUGUUAUUAUGUCGACAAAACAGGCUAUCAAUCUGUUUUCAAUCUUCCCCAAUGACAGUGAACGGCAAAAAAUAAAACAUGUGAUGCAAGAUAAGCAAAAGUAAACUAUUUUGGACGAAGAGUACCGAAACUAAAGAACAUAGCGACACUGCACAAGAGUACAAUUCACAAGAUGCAACAGAAAAUAUGUUGAACAGUGAAUCAUCGGAUAUCGAUGUACGAAAACUUAUUACGAUUUUGUGAUUGCAAUACAGUACACACAUUUAAACAUUUUAUCUAAGAUUAAAUAUAGUUCAGAUUUUUUUUUAAGCUCUAGUAUCGAACUGUAAUUAA